AUGAAGGAACACUUUGAUGUUCGCAACGUGAGUGGAAUUGACCACUUCGAGCGAUCUCUUCGGUCCCGGUGGUCGACAAUCAACAAGGAUUGUCAAAAGUGGGCGGCCGCACAAAAGGCGGUUGACAAGUUGAACCCAAGUGGCACCAAUGAGGACGAUAGAGUAAGUGCCAUUUCAUCCAUGUUCAUCAUACUUGUUGUUGGUGUUUGA
This 210-nucleotide ribosomal RNA is filed under the name Triticum aestivum (bread wheat). RNAcentral's name for it is "partial small subunit ribosomal RNA". The record is from RNAcentral. Lineage: Eukaryota; Viridiplantae; Streptophyta; Magnoliopsida; Poales; Poaceae.